GAAAGAACUGACUCUCAGGGAGGUUCCAUUGGAUACAACAAAUUUGUCAAACUACAAAAGUGAAGAUUUUAAAUUGGAUUACAAAAACAAUAUCCUGAAGGAGAAAGCUGAACAAAAUAGGAUUCUCCCUGCUAAGAAUAUUGACUUAGAUAAAGAAUUCGGGAAAGAAAAUUAUAAAUGAAAACAGCAACUCAAAGCUACUGGCUGGACCAGAAGCUCCCUUAAGAAUUUAAAAGUACAAGAGAACUUUGUUUUCUUUUUUAAAAAACGUCAUCCUUCCAGUUACCAAGAAGUUUCUGUAGACUUUUUUUCCAACUUUGGGCCUAUGAAAGCAUACAAGACACGUAAGCUGUAAAUCCUAUGCACGCUCAUUUCAUAAGGUUUACUACCAGGUAAACAAGUAUAGGGCUGCCCUGUAAAACUUCCUC
This 428-nucleotide long non-coding RNA is filed under the name Notechis scutatus (mainland tiger snake). Its description in RNAcentral is "lncRNA (ENSNSUG00000000174.1)". Lineage: Eukaryota; Metazoa; Chordata; Lepidosauria; Squamata; Elapidae. The record is from RNAcentral.